UUUUUCUUUUUUUUUUUUGGUUGCACCUGUGGCAUGCAGAAGUUCCCAGGCCAGGGAUCGAACCCGUGCCACAGCAGCAAUCCAUCACAGCAGUGACAAUGCCAGAUCCUUAACCCUCUGAACCAUAAGAAAACUCCAACAACUGGAAUUUGAAAAUAAAACAAUGGGAGUUCCCGUUGUGGCUCAGCAGAAACGAAUCUGACUAGUAGUAUCCAUGAAGAUCCAGGUUCGAUCCCUGGCUUCACUCAGUGGGUUAAGGAUCCAGUGUUGCCGUGAGCUAUGGUGUGGGUUGCAGAUGCGGCUUGGAUCUCGUGUGGCCGUGGCCGUGGCAUAGGCCAGCGGCUAAAGCUCUGAUUCAACCCCUACCUGGGAACUUCCAUAUGCCGUGAGUGCAGCCCUAAAAGGACCAAAAAAACAACAAACAAACAAACAAAAAAAAAAACUAACAAAAUGUGCACUAGAUCUAAAUGACGAAAACUAUAAAACCAAUGUAAGAAAUGAAAAAUCUCAAUGAAUGGAGAGAGAGUCCAUAUUCAUGGAUAGGAAGAGUCAUAUAUUGUCAACAGUGACAAUUCUUUCCAACUUAAUCUAUAGAUUCCAUACAAUUCCAAUCAAAAUCCCAGCAAGUUAACUUUGUGGAUAUUGACAAACUGAUUCUAAAGUUUAUAUGGAAAGGCAGAAGACCCAGGAUAGCCAACACAAUACUAAAGAACAAACCUGAGGACUGAUACUGACUUCAACACUUAGUACAAAUCUACAGUAGUCAAGACAGUAUAUGACACUGGUGAAGAAAUAAAUAGAACAGAAUAGACACCCCAGAAAUAGACCCAUACACCUACAAUGAACUGAUCUUUGAUGAAAGGAACAACAAGUCAUUGGAGAAAGAUUAGUCUUUUUUGACAAAUGGUGUUGUUACAACUCUACAUCCACAUGCAAAAACAGGAAUCGACAUAGAUCUUUACCUACCACAAAAAGUAACUCAAAAGAGAUCACAUACUUAAUGCAAAACACCAAGCUAUGUGACUUCUAGAUAAUAACAUAAGAGAAAAUCUAGAUGACCUUGGGUUUGGAAAUGAGCUUUAAGGUACAACAUCAAAAGCACAAACCACCAAAGAAAAAAAUUGAUAAAGUAGACACUAUCAAAAUUGAAAACUUCUACUUUGUGAAGACACUUAAGAGAAUAAAAAAGGAAGCCACAUACCAGAAGAAAAUAUUGCAACACACAUAUAUAUUUGGUACCCAAAGGAUACCAAGAACUGGUAUCUGAAACAAUAUAAAGAAUUCUUAAAACUAAACAAUAACAAACACCCAAUAUAAAAAUUGGCAGAAGAUCUUAACAGAUAUCU
Molecule: long non-coding RNA, 1346 nt
Filed under: Sus scrofa (pig)
Lineage: Eukaryota; Metazoa; Chordata; Mammalia; Artiodactyla; Suidae
Description: lncRNA (ENSSSCG00005043959.1)
Source: RNAcentral